This 945-nucleotide ribosomal RNA is filed under the name uncultured archaeon. RNAcentral describes it as "bacterial SSU rRNA". It matches the Rfam family "Archaeal small subunit ribosomal RNA", at positions 1 to 922 of the family's 1478-position model. The record is from RNAcentral.
UUCCGGUUGAUCCUGCCGGGACCCGACUGCUAUCGAAAUGGGACUAAGCCAUGUUAGUCGAACGUCUUUUAACUAUGUGAAGGGCGUGGCGUACGGCUCAGUAACACGUUGUCAAUCUACCCUGAAGACGUGGAUAACCCCGGGAAACUGGGAUUAAACCACGAUAGAUCAAGAUUUCUGGAAUGGAUUUUGAUUCAAAGGAAGGAUGAGCAUGUUCAUCUAUUUGCCUCAGGAUGGGACUGCGACCGAUCAGGUUGUUGGUGGAGUAAUAGCCCACCAAGCCAGUAACCGGUACGGGCUUUGAGAGAAGGAGCCCGGAGAUGGACACUGAGAAAAGAGUCCAGGUCCUACGGGGCGCAGCAGGCGCGAAACCUUCGCAAUGCACGAAAGUGCGACGAGGUUAUUUCGAGUGCUAUCCGCUGAGGAUAGCUUUUGUCAGGUGUAAAUAGCCUGGAGAAUAAGGGGAGGGCAAGUCUGGUGUCAGCCGCCGCGGUAAUACCAGCUCCCCGAGUGGUCGGGACGAUUAUUGGGCCUAAAGCAUCCGUAGCCUGCUUUGCAGGUCUUCUGUUAAAUUCAACGGCUUAACCGUUGAGCUGCAGGAGAUACCACAAGGCUAGGAGGCGGGAGAGGUAGACGGUACUCCAUGGGUAGGGGUAAAAUCCUCUGAUCCAUGGAAGACCACCAGUGGCGAAGGCGGUCUACCAGAACGCGCUCGACGGUGAGGGAUGAAAGCUGGGGGAGCGAACCGGAUUAGAUACCCGGGUAGUCCCAGCUGUAAACGAUGCUAGCUAGGUGACGGAGUGGUUUCGUACCAUUCCGGUGCCGCAGGGAAGCCGUUAAGCUAGCCGCCUGGGGAGUACGGUCGCAAGACUGAAACUUAAAGGAAUUGGCGGGGGAGCACCACAAGGGGUGAAGCCUGCGGGUUCAAUUGGAGUCAACGCCGGG